Molecule: transfer RNA, 72 nt
Filed under: human gut metagenome
Also listed under: 1 other name
Rfam family: tRNA
About the family: Transfer RNA (tRNA) molecules are approximately 80 nucleotides in length.
Source: RNAcentral
GAGGCAUAGCUCAGCUGGUUAGAGCGCAUGCUUCACACGCAUGAGGUCACAGGUUCGAGUCCUGUUGUCUCC